AAUUUGGAGAGUUUGAUCCUGGCUCAGGACGAACGCUGGCGGCGUGCCUAAUACAUGCAAGUCGAGCGAAGAUAUGUAAGUACUUGUAC
This 89-nucleotide ribosomal RNA is filed under the name Gemella sp. GH3. RNAcentral's name for it is "Bacterial small subunit ribosomal RNA". It matches the Rfam family "Bacterial small subunit ribosomal RNA", at positions 1 to 88 of the family's 1533-position model. RNAcentral also lists the same sequence under 1 other name. The record is from Rfam by way of RNAcentral. Lineage: Bacteria; Bacillati; Bacillota; Bacilli; Caryophanales; Gemellaceae.